UGGAUGGCUGUUUGCUUGCGCACCAACGUCCACGCUGCAUACCUCUUCAGUUUUGCAUCAAGACAUGAUUUGUCUUGAGCAUAUUGUGGGUUAUCUGUGUUGCAUACCUAAUUGAUGGUAACGUGUGGGUUUUACGAUUUCUCUUUUCGUCAUGUGUCGUUCAUGCGGCGUGGGAUGAACAAUGAAGCGGUCUUUGUGAUCCACCAUGCUGUUGUUUUGCAACAGUGAUGUGGCCUAUAAAGCAUCGUUUGGUCUCUUG
Molecule: unclassified non-coding RNA, 259 nt
Filed under: Centaurea babylonica
Lineage: Eukaryota; Viridiplantae; Streptophyta; Magnoliopsida; Asterales; Asteraceae
Description: partial external transcribed spacer
Source: RNAcentral